RNAcentral lists this long non-coding RNA (1013 nucleotides) under Heterocephalus glaber (naked mole-rat). Its description in RNAcentral is "lncRNA (ENSHGLG00100040769.1)". Lineage: Eukaryota; Metazoa; Chordata; Mammalia; Rodentia; Bathyergidae. The record is from RNAcentral.
CUUCCUCCGCCCACUCGGCUCCCGAGCCCCCACCCGGGUCCGGGCCGCGCGCCCUCCCGCCAGCCUGCUGGCCCGGCGGGAGCUGCGCUGGGGGUCCCCGGCUCGGCCCGCCCCACGCCGCGCUCACCCCCGAGAGGAUGCGGAUUCCAACUUGGAUCGGGGGAGGGAACGUCCUGGAUGCCGAGCGCCUCCCGGCUGUUUGCUCUUCUUUAUUUGUUUUCUUCUCCGAGAAAGGAGGAAAACGGAGAAAAGGAAAAGGAAAGAAGCGGCACUGGCCGCGUCUGCCGGCGGACGCCGGCUGCGCAGGAGCGAGGCGAGAGUCGAGGUGUUUAGUGAUGAGCUGUCAUUCUAAUCUUUAAACAGGAGAAAGGAAAUCCUACGAAUUAAAUGUGUUGUCAGAAGCUGGUUUAAAAAAAGAAAAGAUGGAAGCCAGGCACAGUGGCACAAGACUUAAUCCCAGCUAUUUGGGAGGCUGAAACAGGAAGACUGACUUCAAGUCCACCAUGGGGAACGUGAUGAGACACCUUUCUCAAAAAUAGAAAGACAAGGACUGGCAUAGUGUGGUGGAUUAUAAGGCUCUUCAGGAUCAAUUUUGGAACAAUAACAAAAAGUCAUGAUAAUAAAGCAGAAAGUAAAUGAUGAAUGACCUGAAAUAAGAGUCCCAUUUAUGUAUUUAUAUUCCAGAAGAAGAAACAACAUGAAGCAUUCACAAAGGUUGCAUCUAAUACUUUUCUUUUUAUAAAAUAUCUAUGAUCACUUUUCCCUGAUUGACUGUUAGAAAAAUACUAUUUUUUUUCAUGCAAUAUCAUUAAUCAAGUGGUAGGAGUUUGAAAUGUCCACACUGCACUCAGUUAUAUAGAAUACACUUUUUUUUUUUCCUUUUAAAUUCUGGGGAACUCAGCUCAUCUGCUCAGAUGCUUCCGUUCCACUCAUUUUUGAGUGUAGGAAGUUAACUCCCUAUCAAACUGAUCUUUGCUCUGGCUCCAGGAGUUUCCAUUCUCUUUCUGUUUCUA